Long non-coding RNA from Mus musculus (house mouse), 2310 nucleotides. RefSeq annotates it as predicted gene, 35756. The transcript has 3 exons. The record is from RefSeq and is a predicted model, not a curated record. NCBI's taxonomy places the organism in Eukaryota, Metazoa, Chordata, Mammalia, Rodentia, Muridae.
UUCUUUAAAUCUUUUAUCCCAUGUCUGCUACCUCUGGCUGUAUGGAUUACAUAUCAGCGGUUAAGAAAAUUCCACAAAAAGUCCCGGCUUGUUCUCACCCUGCAGAGCUUAUGGUCACCAUUGCGAUGAAAGGAAUUUGAAAGGCACAGCCAGGCCGGCCGAUCCUGAACCGGCUCAGCACAUUCCCUCUCCGCGGCUUACCGUGCCAUGGAUGUUCUUUUGAGCAGCCAUCAAUCAUGUUUGAAAGUUUCCCAUGAUUCCUGAGAUAUGAACCUCUUUGAUACAAGUUAACAAUACGGCACGCUCAGCGUGGGCUGAGGAAAAUUCUUUUGAAUGUGAGUUAAAGAACCACUUUGUUCCAGCUCGGAUUUGUACUCGUUCUGGGGCGGGGGUGGGGGAAUUGUUCUGUUUCUCUUGGGCGGCUUCAGGGGCCCCCUGUCCAAGAAAUACCCAGGGAUGCUUAAGUGGCUGCUGAGGCAGAGAAGAAAAAGGUCUGGAGGAUGGUUGAGAGGAACAAAGAGCAACAGAGGAAGAGAUGGAGUAGAGAGCUAGAAGAGGGUGAAAAAUGAAGAGAUGAGCACACGAAGCCUAAGAUGCCUAACUAAGAUAGUUCUGUGAAAAAGCCGAGCACCAAAGGCGCUGUCAGAGCAGCCAAGAGGCUGCUGAAGGGGCGGUGCGUCUCAAAUAGGAACCCCUGCACUCCGCCUUGCCAUUAACGCUCGGCGAAAAGAGCCAGUUUGGAAAAUGUUCUUGGGAACUCAAAGUUCACUCAUAACUCAUAUUGUACCUUGUGUGAUUCGUCUGUUGAAAUCGAGAGCUGACUGUUCCUGCAGAGAAGAUAGCAGAAAAAUGAAUGAUGGUCUUCUUCUAUGUCAUGGCGAUGGCUUUAUCUAGCUCAGAUGUUGCGCUAGUUCUUAGAAGAUCCGUUCUUUCUACCAGAAUCCUGAUUGCGUUUUAAAGAUGAAGAGCUAGGAGCGGUAGAGGCAGAGGUCCCAGGCCUGAUACAGAGGAGAAGGCUGAGCUGACGGAUGGCCAGCCUGCAGCGCGGCCUGCUUCCCGACUGUAUACAACGUGACCUGCUGCCUCCAGUGCUGCUCGACUUUCUUUCCCUGUCACCGUGGACCACACCCUUAAAGUGUGAGCAGCGAGAAGGCUUCUCUUCUUCAAGGUCAAGGCCGUGAGAAAAGUAACUGAGACUGAGCCCACGUUCUCCACUCUUCUUUCUGGCUUGGAAUGAUUGACAGCGACAGAUCACCAAGCAAGGAGAGAGAGACAUUACAGCCUCAAGUCUUUCCCUGAUUAUUAUGUAUUUUCUCCAUCCCGCUUUCUCUAACACAACUCUGAGAUCUUCAUCCUUCCUUCUCUUCAGCCAGACUGGCUGUUCACAUUGCUCUUAACAUGGUUCCUCCCCGCUCUCUGAUUUCCCUCACACUCUUUCCAGGGUCUGAAGUGCCCUUGUUGGCUGCUGCACCCAGCUCAACCGGCCUAUCUCUCAAGGACAGGCUUGAGUUCCAGCUCCUCCACAAAUUAUUCCCUGUAGCUCCAUUCUUCUUGGUCUGGCCAAAUGGAAUGUUGAAUCUCCCUCAUAUUUUGGUUCUGGUUACAUAACUCUAUUGCAUCUCGCUGUGCUAUUUUGCAUCCUGUAAUUACAUCAGCAUUCGACUUUUCUUCCCAGGAACAUUGCAAACCCUUUGACCAGAGGGCCUGUGCUAUAUAUUUCUUUUAUUUUCCACACAGGGCAUAGCACAAUUCUGGGUGGGCACUCAAUAAAUAUUUACUGAAUUAAAUUGAAUGUGGCACAGACUACAUCUAAAGCUUUGAAAAAUUCCUUUUCAUAAAUUAUAUGGGUCUUGACAAGAGGAUUAUUGGAGGGAGCCACUUGAAUAUAUUCAUUCUGGGCGAGCACGCAUGAGAUUUGCAGGGUCAUAAUGCAGGUUCUUGGACAAAGAAAUGGCUAAGCUGGGAUUUGGAGACAGGCUGGGAGGAGGAAGGUGGUUGGAUGAGGGAGGACUGAGUUGUGGCUGCAGCCACAGCAGGGACUGAGAUUCAUAAACUAGGGAUGUACUGCCUCAGAAGAGAGUCUGUAGAGAACUUUUGCUUUGUAAAGUUAUAAACAAGUUAAAUAAUUUGACAAUUGGGUUCUCAUGAGUCAGGAGGUUUGCUGAAUAAAUUUCUGCUAGCUCAGCAAAAAUUGCUGUUUUUAAUAAUUUCUGCACAGGUAGAAUGCAGUGUUUUACGAGUUUUAUUCAUAAAAAAUGCCUAUUUCUUUAUACUGUUCUCCUUUCUCAGGUCUUUCUGUCUCUUUUCGGA